GACGAACGCUGGCGGCGUGCUUAACACAUGCAAGUCGAGCGGUAAGGCCCUUUCGGGGGUACACGAGCGGCGAACGGGUGAGUAACACGUGGGUGACCUGCCCUCAGCUCUGGGAUAAGCCUGGGAAACUGGGUCUAAUACUGGAUAUGACUCCACGGUGCAUGUCGUGGGGUGGAAAGCCUUGUGCGGCUGAGGAUGGGCCCGCGGCCUAUCAGCUUGUUGGUGGGGGGA
Molecule: ribosomal RNA, 231 nt
Filed under: uncultured bacterium
Lineage: Bacteria
Description: partial 16S ribosomal RNA
Rfam family: Bacterial small subunit ribosomal RNA
Source: RNAcentral